RNAcentral lists this transfer RNA (76 nucleotides) under Spirochaetia bacterium. RNAcentral's name for it is "tRNA-Arg". It matches the Rfam family "tRNA". Rfam says of the family: Transfer RNA (tRNA) molecules are approximately 80 nucleotides in length. Their secondary structure includes four short double-helical elements and three loops (D, anti-codon, and T loops). The record is from RNAcentral. Lineage: Bacteria; Pseudomonadati; Spirochaetota; Spirochaetia.
UGAGGUUGUAGCUCAGCUGGAUAGAGCAUUAGAUUGCGGAUCUAAAGGUCGCACGUUCGAGUCGUGUCAGCCUCAU